RNAcentral lists this ribosomal RNA (497 nucleotides) under uncultured bacterium. RNAcentral's name for it is "partial 16S ribosomal RNA". It matches the Rfam family "Bacterial small subunit ribosomal RNA", at positions 28 to 507 of the family's 1533-position model. The record is from RNAcentral.
GAUGAACGCUGGCGGCGUGCCUAAUACAUGCAAGUCGAGCGAACGGACGAGAAGCUUGCUUCUCUGAUGUUAGCGGCGGACGGGUGAGUAACACGUGGAUAACCUACCUAUAAGACUGGGAUAACUUCGGGAAACCGGAGCUAAUACCGGAUAAUAUUUUGAACCGCAUGAUUCAAAAGUGAAAGACGGUCUUGCUGUCACUUAUAGAUGGAUCCGCGCUGCAUUAGCUAGUUGGUAAGGUAACGGCUUACCAAGGCUACGAUGCAUAGCCGACCUGAGAGGGUGAUCGGCCACACUGGAACUGAGACACGGUCCAGACUCCUACGGGAGGCAGCAGUAGGGAAUCUUCCGCAAUGGGCGAAAGCCUGACGGGGCAACGCCGCGUGAGUGAUGAAGGUCUUCGGAUCGUAAAACUCUGUUAUUAGGGAAGAACAUAUGUGUAAGUAACUGUGCACAUCUUGACGGUACCUAAUCAGAAAGCCACGGCUAACUACGUG